This 505-nucleotide ribosomal RNA is filed under the name uncultured bacterium. RNAcentral's name for it is "partial 16S ribosomal RNA". It matches the Rfam family "Bacterial small subunit ribosomal RNA", at positions 28 to 507 of the family's 1533-position model. The record is from RNAcentral.
GACGAACGCUGGCGGCGUGCCUAAUACAUGCAAGUAGAACGCACAGUUUAUACCGUAGCUUGCUACACCAUAGACUGUGAGUUGCGAACGGGUGAGUAACGCGUAGGUAACCUGCCUGGUAGCGGGGGAUAACUAUUGGAAACGAUAGCUAAUACCGCAUAAUAUUAAUUAUUGCAUGAUAAUUAAUUGAAAGGUGCAAUUGCACCACUACCAGAUGGACCUGCGUUGUAUUAGCUAGUAGGUGAGGUAACGGCUCACCUAGGCGACGAUACAUAGCCGACCUGAGAGGGUGAUCGGCCACACUGGGACUGAGACACUGCCCAGACUCCUACGGGAGGCAGCAGUAGGGAAUCUUCGGCAAUGGACGAAAGUCUGACCGAGCAACGCCGCGUGAGUGAAGAAGGUUUUCGGAUCGUAAAGCUCUGUUGUAAGAGAAGAACGGGUGUGAGAGUGGAAAGUUCACACUGUGACGGUAUCUUACCAGAAAGGGGCGGCUAACUACGUG